GCUACGGUGGUCUAGCGGUUAGAACGCUGGCCUUGUAAUCCUGGGGUCCCGGGUUCAAUUCCCGGUGGUGCU
Molecule: transfer RNA, 72 nt
Filed under: Zootermopsis nevadensis
Lineage: Eukaryota; Metazoa; Arthropoda; Insecta; Blattodea; Termopsidae
Rfam family: tRNA
About the family: Transfer RNA (tRNA) molecules are approximately 80 nucleotides in length. Their secondary structure includes four short double-helical elements and three loops (D, anti-codon, and T loops).
Source: Rfam by way of RNAcentral